GGCUGGUCUGAUGGUAGUGUAUUAUCAGAACUUAUUAACAUUGGUGUCACUAAAGUUAAUAUACAACCCCCAACUGCUAAAUUUGACUGGCUUAAA
Papio anubis (olive baboon) is the source of this 96-nucleotide non-coding RNA. Lineage: Eukaryota; Metazoa; Chordata; Mammalia; Primates; Cercopithecidae. The record is from Rfam.